GCCUGUGAAGGGUGACCCGCGAGGGCACUUGGAGGUAUCAGAAGUGAGAAUGCUGACAUGAGUAGCGACAAGGAGAGUGAGAGACUCUCCCGCCGAAAGUCCAAGGGUUCCUGCUUAAAGCUAAUCUGAGCAGGGUGAGCCGGCCCCUAAGCCGAGGCCGAAAGGCGUAGGCGAUGGGAACCAGUUUAAUAUUACUGGGCCAGAGGAUGGUGACGGAUUGAAAGCGUAGUUUGUCCUUAUCGGAUUGGACAGGCUGCCGGACGGUCCCAGGAAAUAGCCCCUCGUUAGACCGUACCCUAAACCGACACAGGUGGACUGGUAGAGAAUACCAAGGCGCUUGAGAGAACGACGUUGAAGGAACUCGGCAAAAUACCUCCGUAAGUUCGCGAGAAGGAGGCCCGGCGUUUACGCAAGUAGAUUCCGGGGGCACAAACCAGGGGGUGGCGACUGUUUACUAAAAACACAGGGCUCUGCGAAGUCGCAAGACGACGUAUAGGGUCUGACGCCUGCCCGGUGCCGGAAGGUUAA
RNAcentral lists this ribosomal RNA (528 nucleotides) under Isochrysis galbana. RNAcentral describes it as "partial Bacterial large subunit ribosomal RNA". It matches the Rfam family "Bacterial large subunit ribosomal RNA", at positions 1246 to 1880 of the family's 2925-position model. Lineage: Eukaryota; Haptophyta; Isochrysidales; Isochrysidaceae. The record is from RNAcentral.